Molecule: ribosomal RNA, 378 nt
Filed under: uncultured delta proteobacterium
Lineage: Bacteria; Deltaproteobacteria
Description: bacterial SSU rRNA
Rfam family: Bacterial small subunit ribosomal RNA
Source: RNAcentral
UAAUACGGAUGGUGCGAGCGUUGUUCGGAAUUACUGGGCGUAAAGGGCGCGUAGGCGGCCAGUCAAGUCAGAUGUGAAAGCCCUCGGCUCAACCGAGGAAGUGCAUCUGAAACUGUCUGGCUUGAGUAUGGGAGAGGAAAGUGGAAUUCCCGGUGUAGAGGUGAAAUUCGUAGAGAUCGGGAGGAAUACCGGUGGCGAAGGCGACUUUCUGGACCAAUACUGACGCUGAGGCGCGAAAGCGUGGGGAGCAAACAGGAUUAGAUACCCUGGUAGUCCACAGCUGUAAACGAUGAGAACUAGGUAUAGGAGGUAUUGACCCCCCCUGUGCCGUAGCUAACGCAUUAAGUUCUCCGCCUGGGGAGUACGGUCGCAAGAUUA